Molecule: ribosomal RNA, 223 nt
Filed under: uncultured bacterium
Lineage: Bacteria
Description: partial 16S ribosomal RNA
Rfam family: Bacterial small subunit ribosomal RNA
Source: RNAcentral
UACGUAGGGCGCAAGCGUUGUCCGGAAUUAUUGGGCGUAAAGAGCUCGUAGGCGGUUUGUCGCGUCUGCUGUGAAAUCCCGAGGCUCAACCUCGGGCUUGCAGUGGGUACGGGCAGACUAGAGUGCGGUAGGGGAGACUGGAAUUCCUGGUGUAGCGGUGAAAUGCGUAGAUAUCAGGAGGAACACCGGUGGCGAAGGCGGGUCUCUGGGCCGAUACUGACGC